GUGCUUAUAUCUGUCACGCGGAUUUGUUGAACAUCAGAGAUUGCAAGGCAGGCAGGCAG
Molecule: microRNA precursor, 59 nt
Filed under: Aedes aegypti (yellow fever mosquito)
Lineage: Eukaryota; Metazoa; Arthropoda; Insecta; Diptera; Culicidae
Description: microRNA aae-mir-11906 precursor
Source: miRBase by way of RNAcentral